AGGGACGUAAAUUCGUCCGUCCUCCGUUACACGUGGCGCCGUUUUAUUUGCUGAUGUUUUUUUGUAGGGUUAGACCAAAUGUAUCGACGGUUCGACUCAUUUUGUUUACUCCUUCUCUCUUUCUUUAUCCUCUCUUUCUGGACGGCGAUUUGAUUCCGAAGGAUGUUUUUUCAGAUCAAGCUGCCUGAAGCAUAGAGAAAUCUGCCGUCAAUUUGCUCUCGCCGGUUGCAAUAGAAAGAGAUUUGAAAAGAUAAAGUUUGUUGCUCUGGUCGGAUUUCGAAAGGGAUAGCAAGCGAGUCGACAUGCUUUCAUCUCAUGAAAGCCUCACAUAAGGAGAAAUCACAGAACAAGUAGCAACAAUCAGAGAGACAAAAGAUACUUCACAUGUGCGAAUGUUGAUGAUGGAGAGAUGCAUAUUCACAAGUGGUGGGAUGUAGCUGUCAUGGAGGAGAUGGGCGAGAUGAACAAACAAUGUCAAGUGCUGUCUGAGAAGGUGGAUAGCCUCACAAUCGCAAGUGACUAUGACUCGCACAUCAGUACUGAAACCGAGCAGAAAAUAGUCAUGUUAGAGAAGGUAGUGUUAGAGCUACGGAAGAGUAGAAAUAGGUUUAGAAAUGGUACAGAAUUGAUAUUCGUAAUUGCUAUUGUUGUAUGUUUAAUAUGUAUGGUGGUGAUGUCUAUGAAAUUGUAAUAGACAUCACGGGUAAAAGUUUGUGUCACGGGUAAAAGUUUGUGUAAUGUCAAAAAAACUAAGUUGCUAUUGUUGUAUUUUAGGAAUGAAUACAUUCUAAUGACAUUGUAUUUUUGUGUCACGGGUAAAAGAACGCAUGACACACAGCACAAAGAUUGAGUGACACUGCCUUCACGGGUAAAAGAAGGCAUGACACACAGCUGAGUCACAAAGCACAAAGCUUGAGUUCACGGGUAGCACAAAGCUUGAGUUCACGGGUAACACAAAUGCUUGAGUUCCUAUAUAUAUGCUUAUUCAACACCAAAGAAACAAAAUCAAAACCUUCUUAUCUUUUUCUACACUCCAAUUUUUCUCAACAUCAAAACAAAGAGCCCUUAAAUUUUUUUUUUCAUAUGGCAUCAUCAUCAAACCAUUACCACUACCAAAGAGACGAUGCAGAUAAUAUGGAUGGUUACUUUGAUGAUUAUUUUGAUAAUUUUCUCGAAAAUUCUAAUAUCAUUCAAGAACCAAUAGAGCGAACGCCACAGAUUUUUAUAGAGAGAAACCGGGAAGAAGGCCACAUUAAUCUUUGGAAUGAUUAUUUCAGUGAUACUCCAACAUACCCGGAGUAUUUAUUCCGGCGAUGGUUUCGCAUGCACAGGCCAUUGUUCAUGCGUAUUGUGUAACGUCUCUCUACAGAAGUCGAGUAUUUCCGUCAAUCCCAGGAUGCAACCGGUCGGGCUGGUCUGUCACCUAUUCAAAAAUGUACUGCAGCCAUUCGCCAAUUGGCAUAUGGUACUGCCUCCGACACAGUAGACGAGUAUGUACGAAUUGGUGGUUCAACGGCUCGGAAAUGUUUGCACGAGUUUACCGCCGGAAUAAUCUUGUUGUUUGGCGAUGAAUACCUAAGACGUCCCACACAAGACGACCUAGAGAGACUACUCUAUCAAAAUCAACAACGUGGAUUUCCCGGGAUGGUUGGGAGCAUUGACUGCAUGCAUUGGGAGUGGAAGAAUUGUCCAACAGCUUGGAAAGGGAUGUACUCAUGAUCAACCGGAAAACCUACAAUCGUGUUAGAGGCGGUAGCUUCGUAUGACCUCUGGAUAUGGCAUGCUUUUUUUGGAGCUCCAGGUACUAUGAACGAUCUUAAUAUUCUGGAUCGAUCAAAUGUUUUUGAUGACAUUCUUAACGGUAAUGUUCCGGAGGUCAACUACUUUGUAAACGGAAGGGAGUACAAUUUGGCGUACUAUCUCACCGAUGGUAUUUAUCCCAAAUGGGCCACAUUUAUACAAUCGAUCCGGCUUCCACAAGGACGGAGAAGAUGUGGAUCAAACAUAUACCGUCGGUGCCGCCAGUUUGGGUUCAAAUAUGAGCAGUACGAUUACUCGUCGAACACAUAUGCGGGAUAAACAAGUUCAUGACCAGUUAAAAAAAAGAUUUGAUUGAGCAUAUUUGGACAAACUUUGGACAUCUUCCACAUAAUGAAGAUUAAUCACAAA
Camelina sativa (false flax) is the source of this 2169-nucleotide long non-coding RNA. RefSeq lists it as uncharacterized. The record is from RefSeq and is a predicted model, not a curated record. NCBI's taxonomy places the organism in Eukaryota, Viridiplantae, Streptophyta, Magnoliopsida, Brassicales, Brassicaceae.